RNAcentral lists this transfer RNA (77 nucleotides) under Variovorax paradoxus. RNAcentral's name for it is "tRNA-Glu". It matches the Rfam family "tRNA". Rfam says of the family: Transfer RNA (tRNA) molecules are approximately 80 nucleotides in length. Their secondary structure includes four short double-helical elements and three loops (D, anti-codon, and T loops). The record is from RNAcentral. Lineage: Bacteria; Pseudomonadati; Pseudomonadota; Betaproteobacteria; Burkholderiales; Comamonadaceae. RNAcentral also lists the same sequence under 2 other names.
GUCGUAUUCGUCUAGUGGCUUAGGACGCAAGGUUUUCAUCCUUGUAGACGCGGGUUCGAAUCCCGCAUACGACUCCA